This 245-nucleotide ribosomal RNA is filed under the name Klebsiella pneumoniae. RNAcentral describes it as "partial 23S ribosomal RNA". It matches the Rfam family "Bacterial large subunit ribosomal RNA", at positions 1523 to 1765 of the family's 2925-position model. The record is from RNAcentral. Lineage: Bacteria; Pseudomonadati; Pseudomonadota; Gammaproteobacteria; Enterobacterales; Enterobacteriaceae.
GGCUGAUUGUCCAGGCAAAUCCGGAUAAUCAAGGCUGAGGUGUGAUGACGAGGCACUACGGUGCUGAAGUAACAAAUGCCCUGCUUCCAGGAAAAGCCUCUAAGCAUCAGGUAACAUUAAAUCGUACCCCAAACCGACACAGGUGGUCAGGUAGAGAAUACCAAGGCGCUUGAGAGAACUCGGGUGAAGGAACUAGGCAAAAUGGUGCCGUAAGUUCGGGAGAAGGCACGCUGGUGUGUAGGUGA